Magnolia sinica is the source of this 444-nucleotide long non-coding RNA. RefSeq lists it as uncharacterized. The transcript is spliced from 3 exons. The record is from RefSeq and is a predicted model, not a curated record. Lineage: Eukaryota; Viridiplantae; Streptophyta; Magnoliopsida; Magnoliales; Magnoliaceae.
AGAUGAAGAAGAUUGCAGCUUUGGUUCUCCUCUUAGUCCUUGUAGCCUCUCAGAUGGAGGAGGCCCACUCAACUGAGGCAUUUCAGUGCCACGAUGAGUGCACAUUGAAUUGCGUUGGAGAAGAUCAGAGUAAGAUCGAAGGCUGUGACCGCAAGUGUCAAGUACAAUGUGACCCAGGUUUUGCGGGUGCGGCCGGUCUGCUCUAGUCAUGGGAUGAAGCUAUAGUGAACGUAUUUUCGCCUGAUUUUUCUAAUAAAAUGUAAACCCAAUCCGGUUUAAAAUAAGAUAGUUAUUGUAUGUGGGCUUUUAACUUUGUUUAUUUUAAAAGUCUAUCAACCGUCGAUCAUAAUGAGCUCUUGUAAAAAUGUCCGCCGGUUUGGGACAUUUCUCAUUGUAACAUUAUCUUCUCUGAUAAUAAAAGGCGUUGAUUGAAUUAUUGUGAUU